GUGAAUCAUCAAAUCUUUGAACGCAAAUUGCACUCCCUGGUAUUCCGGGGAGUAUGCCUGUUUGAGGGUCGUUAGAAUAAACAAUCGCUGCGUCGCUCUUUUUUUUAAGGGUGAUCGCGUCGGACUUGCGCCGUCAUUCAAAUUUUAAUUUAUGUCAACGUGGCAUGAAAUUCAUCCAUCCGGUACGAUUGAAGCGUAUUUAAGAUAAAUUUUGAUUGAGAACGCGCGA
Molecule: unclassified non-coding RNA, 229 nt
Filed under: Glomeraceae sp.
Lineage: Eukaryota; Fungi; Glomeromycota; Glomeromycetes; Glomerales; Glomeraceae
Description: partial contains 5.8S ribosomal RNA and internal transcribed spacer 2
Rfam family: 5.8S ribosomal RNA (bases 1-71)
Source: RNAcentral